This 120-nucleotide ribosomal RNA is filed under the name uncultured bacterium. RNAcentral's name for it is "partial 16S ribosomal RNA". It matches the Rfam family "Bacterial small subunit ribosomal RNA", at positions 796 to 914 of the family's 1533-position model. The record is from RNAcentral.
CACGCCGUAAACGAUGAGUGCUAAGUGUUAGGGGGUUUCCGCCCCUUAGUGCUGGAGCAAACGCAUUAAGCACUCCGCCUGGGGAGUACGGUCGCAAGACUGAAACUCAAAGGAAUUGAC